RNAcentral lists this ribosomal RNA (497 nucleotides) under uncultured bacterium. RNAcentral's name for it is "partial 16S ribosomal RNA". It matches the Rfam family "Bacterial small subunit ribosomal RNA", at positions 28 to 507 of the family's 1533-position model. The record is from RNAcentral.
GAUGAACGCUGGCGGCGUGCCUAAUACAUGCAAGUCGAGCGAACAGACGAGGAGCUUGCUCCUCUGACGUUAGCGGCGGACGGGUGAGUAACACGUGGAUAACCUACCUAUAAGACUGGGAUAACUUCGGGAAACCGGAGCUAAUACCGGAUAAUAUAUUGAACCGCAUGGUUCAAUAGUGAAAGACGGUUUUGCUGUCACUUAUAGAUGGAUCCGCGCCGCAUUAGCUAGUUGGUAAGGUAACGGCUUACCAAGGCAACGAUGCGUAGCCGACCUGAGAGGGUGAUCGGCCCCACUGGAACUGAGACACGGUCCAGACUCCUACGGGAGGCAGCAGUAGGGAAUCUUCCGCAAUGGGCGAAAGCCUGACGGAGCAACGCCGCGUGAGUGAUGAAGGUCUUCCGAUCGUAAAACUCUGUUAUUAGGGAAGAACAAAUGUGUAAGUAACUAUGCACGUCUUGACGGUACCUAAUCAGAAAGCCACGGCUAACUACGUG